Long non-coding RNA from Alosa alosa (allis shad), 127 nucleotides. RefSeq lists it as uncharacterized. The transcript is spliced from 3 exons. NCBI's taxonomy places the organism in Eukaryota, Metazoa, Chordata, Actinopteri, Clupeiformes, Clupeidae. The record is from RefSeq and is a predicted model, not a curated record.
UCAAGCGGAGUCCAGCGGCCCUCCUUACUCUGCGUGGAGUGAAUACUGAUAGUGGGAGUACCUGUCGCGAAGCCUCCUUUGAAGGAAUCAGCCAAUUCAAAGUAAACAACACCAUCCUGCACCCUGU